CGCCUGUUUUUACAAAAACAUUUCUUUCUAAUUAAGAAGGUAUGACCUGCUCACUGAGGGGUUAAAGAGCCGCAGUAUUUUGACUGUGCUAAGGUAGCAUAAUCAUUUGUCUUUUAAUUGAGGACUGGUAUGAAUGGUUUAACGAGAAAUAGUCUUUUUUUUCUAUAAUAAUUUAAUUUAAAUUUUUAGUGAAAAUGCUAAAAUGAAUCAGAAAGACGAGAAGACCCCUUAGAGUUUUAUAUUAAAUUUGUUUUUAUUUAGUUUAUUUAAAAAAUAGAGAAGGAUAUAAAUAUUUAGUUGGGGCGACAUUAAGAUAAAAUUAACUCUUUUUUUUAUAUACCUAUAUAUAGGAAUUUAAUGAUCCUUUGAAAGAGAUUAAAAGAAAAAAUUACCUAGGGGAUAACAGCGUAAUCUUUUUUAAGAGUUCUAAUCGACAAAAAGGUUUGCGACCUCGAUGUUGGACUAAAAUUAAGGCAUGGUGCAGUAGCUAUGUUUAAAGGUCUGUUCGACCUUUAGAAUUUUACAUGAUCUGAGUUCAGACCGGCGUGAGCCAGGUGGUUUUUCUAUCUAA
This 571-nucleotide ribosomal RNA is filed under the name Gibbosaverruca sp. 1 ZG-2020. Its description in RNAcentral is "partial large subunit ribosomal RNA". It matches the Rfam family "Bacterial large subunit ribosomal RNA", at positions 1797 to 2645 of the family's 2925-position model. Lineage: Eukaryota; Metazoa; Arthropoda; Thecostraca; Verrucomorpha; Verrucidae. The record is from RNAcentral.